Molecule: non-coding RNA, 3246 nt
Organism: Zonotrichia albicollis (white-throated sparrow)
Lineage: Eukaryota; Metazoa; Chordata; Aves; Passeriformes; Passerellidae
Source: RefSeq, a predicted model, not a curated record
UUCUCCACCCCCAUUUCAGCACUGUUAUAUCCACGCUCUUCAACCCUAACUAGCUGAAACAACUCUAAUCACCUAUUUUUACUGUUUGAGUUAGGCAGUGUUCACAGGACUCAUUUUGCCAGAAGAACUGAAAUGCUUGCAGAAGGGAAAAAGGGAAAGGGAUACAAACUCAGAGCUGCAAAAUAGCAGCUGAACAUGAUAAUAUCAUCAGCUGGAAGAGGUGGCUGCACACUGAGCAUCUGUCUAUAGCCUAAAAUGACUGUUUUGUUUGGGGAUUUGUUUGUUUGUUGGUUGGAGUUUUGGUUUGUUAUGCUGCAGGAUCACUCCUAACUGCUAAUACAAUUAAGAAAGAAACUUCAGAAAAAGAUCACCAAGUCCUGUGGUUUUUAAUUCCCCAUUGGGCUUUAGGAAGAAGUAGUUUGUGGCAAACAAGGAAGACAAACCUGAAUCCUUUGCUGCAUCCUUCCUCCUGUUUAAGAAGAUUUGUGAUUCUACAUCUAAAUCCAAAAACUUUCCACGUGGCCCUGAGGGACCAGCCAGACAAUCCCUGUCAGAUGAUUUAGGGGGCUGUAGUUUGGUUUUGAAUCCUGCUCUCUUGGCACCAGCAGCAUUUUCACAUGGGCUGAAGCUCUCAUGGCCUCUCAUCCAACUUGGUCGAGCAGACUAAAAGGAAAAGAAAUGCAGCUGAAUUCUGAGGGAUCAGGUUCUAUCCACCUCUAACAUAUUAUGCAACUUUUCAUCCUUUGAGUAGUCUUAUUGAUUUCAGUGGAAGAAUUUGUUAUUGCAGAAUGUGAAUGUCAGAAUUUCACCCUAAAUAUUUCACUUUACAAAGGAAGCCAUGAUGCAGAAGAAAACACACUCUGAGCUGCAGCAGGACACAAAAUUUGCAGUUACAAUAAAAGUUGGGAAGCCUUUUUCUCCUUUGUGACGGUGGCCUUCUAUUGAAAGUGCUUAAUAAACAGAACCAGUUCUGUGCGAAUUAAAUGAAAGAUGUUCAUAAACAAACUGAGAGUCUUCUAAUCCCUACAGCACCACAAAUAAUUCAAAUAAAUUUUGAAGUGCCACGAUAAUGGCACAAGAUGGUUAUCUCUGUAUUAUUGGUUUUGUGUACAUCAAAGAAGGCUCUGUAGGAAAAAAUAAUGUUGCAUAAAAAAACACAACCACGUUUCUUUUAAAAAAGCAGACAAUUAAAAUUAUCCAGAAGUUAAGGAAAAUAUGAACUAAAAAUAUUUUGCCUUUGAAAGUCUGUAUUACCCUUAAAACAAUUUUAUGGUGGAUAUUGUGGGCUCUGGAUUAACAUAAAUGUCUGAUUGAAAAUCUUUGUAAGGAUGUUAAGAUUAAGUACACAGCUCUUAAGUUCUACAAACACAAAACUGAUUUCAAAGGAACCAAGUGAUGAGUAUGGAUGUCCAUGAAACAAAUAUAAUGUAUUCAUAAAGGCCUUUUUCACCAGUCAAGACAUAAAGUGACAACAACUGGACAUGUCAUCUGCUUUUAAAAUUGCUUAAAUUAAAGAUUAUGGGCAACACUGAAAAAGAAAAGAAAGAAAUAUGAGCCAGCUGUACCUGUGGUGUGAUAACAUUGCCUUCAGUAUGGACAAGGCACUGGUUGAAGAACUUCUGUGUUGUAAUUUUGGAUGUACAUGAAGUAAAGAGAAUGUGGUGCUGAAUCAAUGACCAAAAGCUGUACAGGGCAAAUUCCACCUAGUACAAUGUCAGCAAAGCCUGGGGACUUGUGAGGAGGGAAGGGAAAGAGAACCCCUUAAUCUACAUGACAUUAUAAAACAAAUCACAAAGCUUGGCAUGCCCUAAACCAGUAGAAGCACGACACACCAGGCAGGAGAGCUGCCCCAGAUGCUCAUUUCUGUCCCAGAAUAUUCAACACCUUUCACAGAUGUAGAAAUUCAAGUUCCUGGUGAGUCAGGGCCUCUUGAUGCUUUGCACAGUCCCAGGAGCACUCCAUGUAGAGGUGCUGUGGGACUGCCUUUCAUUUAUCCAACAACCAAACCACUGCACAAUGGAGUGGGCCAAAGCCUGAGUGUUUUGUGCCUGCUUUGUUGUCAGGCACAGAGCUGUGUGUUUGCCUUUGUCCCUUUUGCACGUGGGGUCACACCCCCAUGUCCACAGUGCAGCAGAAACCUCAGCAACAAUGUGUGACAGCCUUUACUCCACCAGAGAGACACUGAGCUAUGGCAUCCACUUAUUUCCUGUCAUACCUCUAAAUCAAGGCUAAACGAGGUGAAAAGCAAAGAGAUUUUCAGCCCUUGUAAACUCACAGGGCAAGCUGAAUGGAUAAACUAAGAUGUUUCACCAUCAUAUAUUACCCUGGUGUGUUAGAGUUGGCUAUGUAAUAGGUUCAUGGCCAUCUCAAAAUGAGUGGAAAGGUGAAUGCUUCCAUUGUGAUUACUUGGCUAAAAAAAUACAUGUCAGUAAUCCCUCUUCUGCCCUUCACCAUUUAAUUGUGGUGGUUUAAGGUUAACAAUGGGAAAAUGCUAUAUACUUUUCAGGGAAAACUGAUUGAGCUUUUUUUACAGAUAAAUUACUUAAAAACAGAUGGAAAAUAGUAUUCUAUUGAAAAUGACUCCUUAAGGUCCUGUUGGUUCAGGUUAAAGGAUGUAUGGGCACACUUGCACAAUGAAUUGCAGCUCUGCAAGGCUGUGGCUGGAGGAGAAUCUCAGCUUCUCUGCAUGAAGCUAAAGGGAAAAACUGUGUGGGAAAUUUCAGUUCAGUGCUUGGCUGGGAUGAAAAGUUUCAAGAAAAUAACAAGAGUGUAUCUGCUAAUGUGCCUAAAGGCAUCAUCAAGCUGAGACAGCAGCUCAGAUUAGGGUCAUCUGGCAUGCUCACUUCUGUAGGAUCCUAAAUCUAUAAGCAUCUGUCCUCAGGUGCCUUUAAGGAGCUGGUCCCUAUCUUCCCUAGCAAAUGGCUGUGAAAGGAAAGAGGAGGAGGAGGAAGGAUGCAGGAACUGAUUCCCUUGACAAUGAGAAUUACUGAGCUGCCGCUUCUGCCUUCUCUGGGUUCAGGAUGUUUCUCCCAUCUUUUUAAUCAGUGAGGACCAUUUCAGUGGGAAAGCAUAAUCAUAGGGCAAAAAUAAUCUCAUAGUCACAAAGUUAUUCUUUAAAUGUGGGCUGAACUGCUUAUGAGGUUAAGGUGAAGUUGUAUUUUUAUGUCCAGUGUGGCAUUCACAUUCUCUGAACGUGAUUCCUUUGCCCAAGGUUUUUCUCCUGGGAAGCUGAAAGGCAGCAAGAGG